GAUGAACGCUGGCGGCGUGCCUAAUACAUGCAAGUCGAGCGAACAGACGAGGAGCUUGCUCCUCUGACGUUAGCGGCGGACGGGUGAGUAACACGUGGAUAACCUACCUAUAAGACUGGGAUAACUUCGGGAAACCGGAGCUAAUACCGGAUAAUAUCUUGAACCGCAUGGUUCAAUAGUGAAAGACGGUUUUGCUGUCACUUAUAGAUGGAUCCGCGCCGCAUGAGCUGGUUGGUAAGGUAACGGCUUACCAAGGCAACGAUGCGUAGCCGACGUGAGAGGGUGAUCGGCCACACUGGAACGGAGACACGCUCCAUACUCCUGCGGUAGGCAGCAGUAGGGAACGUUGCGCAAUGGGCGAGAGCUUGACGGAACGAGCCCGCGUGAGUGGCAAGGGUGUCCGGAGCGUAAAACUCGGUUACUGGGGAAGAACAAAUUUGUAAGUAACUAUGCACGUCGUGACGGUACCGGAUCAGAAAGCCACGGCUAACUACGUG
This 497-nucleotide ribosomal RNA is filed under the name uncultured bacterium. Its description in RNAcentral is "partial 16S ribosomal RNA". It matches the Rfam family "Bacterial small subunit ribosomal RNA", at positions 28 to 507 of the family's 1533-position model. The record is from RNAcentral.